RNAcentral lists this ribosomal RNA (615 nucleotides) under uncultured bacterium. RNAcentral's name for it is "bacterial SSU rRNA". It matches the Rfam family "Bacterial small subunit ribosomal RNA", at positions 338 to 1533 of the family's 1533-position model. The record is from RNAcentral.
CCUACGGGAGGCAGCAGUGGGGAAUAUUGGGCAAUGGGCGAAAGCCUGACCCAGCGACGCCGCGUGAGGGACGAAGGCCUUCGGGUUGUAAACCUCUUUCAGCAGGGAAGAAGCGAAAGUGACGGUACCUGCAGAAGAAGCACCGGCUAACUACGUGCCAGCAGCCGCGGUAAUACGUAGGGUGCAAGCGUUGUCCGGAAUUAUUGGGCGUAAAGAGCUCGUAGGUGGUUUGCCACGUCGGAUGUGAAAACCUGAGGCUUAACCUCAGGCCUGCAUUCGAUACGGGCAGACUAGAGUGUGGUAGGGGAGACUGGAAUUCCUGGUGUAGCGGUGAAAUGCGCAGAUAUCAGGAGGAACACCGGUGGCGAAGGCGGGUCUCUGGGCCAUAACUGACACUGAGGAGCGAAAGCGUGGGGAGCAAACAGGAUUAGAUACCCUGGUAGUCCACGCCGUAAACGGUGGGCACUAGAUGUGGGGACCUUCCACGGUCUCUGCGUCGCAGCUAACGCAUUAAGUGCCCCGCCUGGGGAGUACGGCCGCGAAGGCUAAAACUCAAAAGAAGUAAGUAGGCGUUGAGAGUUGUUCCGAACGGACGACCACCGAGGGAGGGUUAGG